AGAGUUUGAUCCUGGCUCAGGAUGAACGCUAGCGGCAGGCUUAACACAUGCAAGUCGAGGGGCAGCACGAGUAGUAAUACUUGGUGGCGACCGGCGCAAGGGUGCGUAACGCGUGAGCAACAUGCCCGUAUCAGGGGGAUAAUCCAGGGAAACUUGGUCUAAUACCCCAUAGCAAUUGAAGGAGGCAUCUUCUUUGAUUUAAAGCUUUGGUGGAUACGGAUUGGCUCGCGUGACAUUAGCUAGAUGGUAAGGUAACGGCUUACCAUGGCUACGAUGUCUAGGGGUUCUGAGAGGAAGGUCCCCCACACUGGAACUGAGACACGGUCCAGACUCCUACGGGAGGCAGCAGUGAGGAAUAUUGGACAAUGGAUGGAAAUCUGAUCCAGCCAUGCCGCGUGCAGGAAGACGGCCCUAUGGGUUGUAAACUGCUUUUAUAUGGGAGCAAUAAGACCUACGUGUAGGUCGAUGAGAGUACCAUAUGAAUAAGCACCGGCUAACUCCGUGCCAGCAGCCGCGGUAAUACGGAGGGUGCAAGCGUUAUCCGGAUUUAUUGGGUUUAAAGGGUGCGUAGGCGGUUUGAUAAGUCAGCGGUGAAAUAUUUCAGCUUAACUGGAAGGGUGCCGUUGAUACUGUCGAGCUUGAAUUUAGUUGCUGUGGGUGGAAUGUGUGGUGUAGCGGUGAAAUGCAUAGAUAUCACACAGAAUAUCGAUUGCGAAGGCAGCUCACAAAGCUAAUAUUGACGCUGAUGCACGAAAGUGUGGGGAUCAAACAGGAUUAGAUACCCUGGUAGUCCACACUGUAAACGAUGAUAACUCGCUGUCGGCGAUACACAGUCGGUGGCCAAGCGAAAGCGAUAAGUUAUCCACCUGGGGAGUACGACCGCAAGGUUGAAACUCAAAGGAAUUGACGG
Molecule: ribosomal RNA, 910 nt
Filed under: methanogenic prokaryote enrichment culture B31_1_27
Also listed under: 1 other name
Description: bacterial SSU rRNA
Rfam family: Bacterial small subunit ribosomal RNA
Source: RNAcentral